AGAGUUUGAUCCUGGCUCAGGACGAACGCUGGCGGCGUGCUUAACACAUGCAAGUCGAACGGAAAGGCCCUUCGGGGUACUCGAGUGGCGAACGGGUGAGUAACACGUGGGUGAUCUGCCCUGCACUUUGGGAUAAGCCUGGGAAACUGGGUCUAAUACCGAAUAUGACCAUGCACUUCCUGGUGUGUGGUGGAAAGCUUUUGCGGUGUGGGAUGGGCCCGCGGCCUAUCAGCUUGUUGGUGGGGUAAUGGCCUACCAAGGCGACGACGGGUAGCCGGCCUGAGAGGGUGACCGGCCACACUGGAACUGAGAUACGGCCCAGACUCCUACGGGAGGCAGCAGUGGGGAAUAUUGCACAAUGGGCGCAAGCCUGAUGCAGCGACGCCGCGUGAGGGAUGACGGCCUUCGGGUUGUAAACCUCUUUCAGCACAGACGAAGCGCAAGUGACGGUAUGUGCAGAAGAAGGACCGGCCAACUACGUGCCAGCAGCCGCGGUAAUACGUAGGGUCCGAGCGUUGUCCGGAAUUACUGGGCGUAAAGAGCUCGUAGGUGGUUUGUCGCGUUGUUCGUGAAAACUCACAGCUUAACUGUGGGCGUGCGGGCGAUACGGGCAGACUUGAGUACUGCAGGGGAGACUGGAAUUCCUGGUGUAGCGGUGGAAUGCGCAGAUAUCAGGAGGAACACCGGUGGCGAAGGCGGGUCUCUGGGCAGUAACUGACGCUGAGGAGCGAAAGCGUGGGGAGCGAACAGGAUUAGAUACCCUGGUAGUCC
This 771-nucleotide ribosomal RNA is filed under the name uncultured bacterium. RNAcentral's name for it is "bacterial SSU rRNA". It matches the Rfam family "Bacterial small subunit ribosomal RNA", at positions 8 to 796 of the family's 1533-position model. The record is from RNAcentral.